AGCUUUGCGCAGUGGCAGUGUCCAAGUCAAUGAGGUUUAUCCAAGGUGUGAUUGUUGCUAAUUGAAAACUUUUCCCAAUACCCCGCCAUGACGACUUGCAAUAUAGUCGGCAUUGGCAAUUUUUGGCAGUCCUGAUGGGA
RNAcentral lists this small nuclear RNA (140 nucleotides) under Microcebus murinus (gray mouse lemur). Its description in RNAcentral is "U4 spliceosomal RNA (ENSMICG00000046204.1)". It matches the Rfam family "U4 spliceosomal RNA". Rfam says of the family: U4 small nuclear RNA (U4 snRNA) is a component of the major U2-dependent spliceosome. The structure of U4 snRNA from yeast and human has been reported. Lineage: Eukaryota; Metazoa; Chordata; Mammalia; Primates; Cheirogaleidae. The record is from Rfam by way of RNAcentral.